RNAcentral lists this ribosomal RNA (449 nucleotides) under uncultured bacterium. RNAcentral's name for it is "partial 16S ribosomal RNA". It matches the Rfam family "Bacterial small subunit ribosomal RNA", at positions 29 to 523 of the family's 1533-position model. The record is from RNAcentral.
AACGAACGCUGGCGGCAUGCCUAACACAUGCAAGUCGAACGAGAUCUUCGGGUCUAGUGGCGCACGGGUGCGUAACGCGUGGGAAUCUGCCCUUUGGUUCGGGAUGACAGUUGGAAACGACUGCUAAUACCGGAUGAUGACGAAAGUCCAAAGAUUUAUCGCCAGAGGAUGAGCCCGCGUAGGAUUAGCUAGUUGGUGUGGUAAAGGCGCACCAAGGCGACGAUCCUUAGCUGGUCUGAGAGGAUGAUCAGCCACACUGGGACUGAGACACGGCCCAGACUCCUACGGGAGGCAGCAGUGGGGAAUAUUGGACAAUGGGCGAAAGCCUGAUCCAGCAAUGCCGCGUGAGUGAUGAAGGCCUUAGGGUUGUAAAGCUCUUUUACCCGGGAUGAUAAUGACAGUACCGGGAGAAUAAGCUCCGGCUAACUCCGUGCCAGCAGCCGCGGUAA